The sequence is a small nuclear RNA, 108 nucleotides long. Its record names the gene U2. It matches the Rfam family "U2 spliceosomal RNA". From Rfam's summary of the family: U2 is a small nuclear RNA (snRNA) component of the spliceosome (involved in pre-mRNA splicing). Complementary binding between U2 snRNA (in an area lying towards the 5' end but 3' to hairpin I) and the branchpoint sequence (BPS) of the intron results the bulging out of an unpaired adenosine, on the BPS, which initiates a nucleophilic attack at the intronic 5' splice site, thus starting the first of two transesterification reactions that mediate splicing. The record is from Ensembl.
GUAGGGCCCUGGGCCUUUUGGCUAAGAUCAAGUGUAGUAUCUGUUCUUAUCAGUCUUAGAGUUUUUAAUUAUACAAGAUUUUCACUUGCUUGGUUAGAGUUAUCCCAA